RNAcentral lists this ribosomal RNA (395 nucleotides) under uncultured bacterium. Its description in RNAcentral is "bacterial SSU rRNA". It matches the Rfam family "Bacterial small subunit ribosomal RNA", at positions 957 to 1353 of the family's 1533-position model. The record is from RNAcentral.
UAACGCGAAGAACCUUACCAAGGCUUGACAUACACCGGAAACGGCCAGAGAUGGUCGCCCCCUUGUGGUCGGUGUACAGGUGGUGCAUGGUUGUCGUCAGCUCGUGUCGUGAGAUGUUGGGUUAAGUCCCGCAACGAGCGCAACCCUCGUUCUAUGUUGCCAGCGCGUUAUGGCGGGGACUCAUAGGAGACUGCCGGGGUCAACUCGGAGGAAGGUGGGGAUGACGUCAAAUCAUCAUGCCCCUUAUGACCUGGGCUACACACGUGCUACAAUGGACGGUACAACGAGUCGCGAAACCGCGAGGUCAAGCUAAUCUCUUAAAGCCGUUCUCAGUUCGGAUUGUAGGCUGCAACUCGCCUACAUGAAGUUGGAAUCGCUAGUAAUCGUGGAUCAGC